UAUGGUCGGAACUACGACGGUAUCUGAUCGUCUUCGAACCUCCGACUUUCGUUCUUGAUUAAUGAAAACAUUCUUGGCAAAUGCUUUCGCUCUGGUCCGUCUUGCGCCGGUCCAAGAAUUUCACCUCUAGCGGCGCAAUACGAAUGCCCCCGGCCGUCCCUCUUAAUCAUGGCCUCAGUUCCGAAAACCAACAAAAUAGAACCGCGGUCCUAUUCCAUUAUUCCUAGCUGCGGUAUCCAGGCGGCUCGGGCCUGCUUUGAACACUCUAAUUUUUUCAAAGUAAACGCUUCGGGCCCCGCGGGACACUCAGCUAAGAGCAUCGAGGGGGCGCCGAGAGGCAAGGGGCGGGGACGGGCUUUUUAACUGCAGCAACUUUAAUAUACGCUAUUGGAGCUGGAAUUACCGCGGCUGCUGGCACCAGACUUGCCCUCCAAUGGAUCCUCGUUAAAGGAUUUAAAGUGGACUCAUUCCAAUUACAGGGCCUCGAAAGAGUCCUGUAUUGUUAUUUUUCGUCACUACCUCCCCGGGUCGGGAGUGGGUAAUUUGCGCGCCUGCUGCCUUCCUUGGAUGUGGUAGCCGUUUCUCAGGCUCCCUCUCCGGAAUCGAACCCUGAUUCCCCGUCACCCGUGGUCACCAUGGUAGGCACGGCGACUACCAUCGAAAGUUGAUAGGGCAGACGUUCGAAUGGGUCGUCGCCGCCACGGAGGGCGUGCGAUCGGCCCGAGGUUAUCUAGAGUCACCAAAGCCGCCGGCGCCCACCCCCCCGGCCGGGGGGGGGGGGGAGCUGGGGGGGUGACGACGCCUCCCCCUCCUCCUCCUUCCCCCACGCACGCCAACAAGCCAACGCGCGACACCACAGCCGUCCGGGGCGGUUCCACACACGUAAGGGGAGCCGGAACCCCCAACCCCCAAGACACGGUGGGCCGGCCCAAGGGGAGGCGAAACACAGCAGGGUCACGGCGACCCGGGUCGGGAAGCGGAUGAGAAAGAGAGCAAAGGAGACGGACAGACCCCAACCCCACAAGGCCCCCACGGGCACGCGGGCAGCGGAGCCCUCAAAGAGCCCACCCUCCCCCGGAGGGGGGAGGGCGAACGGCCCAGCCCGCAGCGACAGCGAGGGGGGGUGGGGGCCGCACCAGGGCCACGGAGGGCGAGGCACCGGAGGCACGAGGGAGAGGACGCAGGGAGCGCCUUGGGCCACAAAAGCCGGACCCGCCGGGGAAACGGACACGGGAUCCCACCGCCACACACCAGGGCGGUCCCGCGACGCCUGGGACACCGGAGCCGGCCUCUGGCGACCCCCCACGUCUUCUCCCACGCACACCCAAGAGCCCCGCCGCCAGGGCGCCUCGACGCGACAGCGCCAACAACCGCACACACCGGACGGCCCUCGCGCCAUCUCCCGCCCAUCCAACCAUCCGGAUCUCCAUGCCCGGAGAAGCACCGCGACCCCGAGGGAACGCUCCCCAGGGGCGACCACGCGGGCCGAGGGGGAAGAGAGGGCUGGGCGCAGCCCAACACACGUGCCGACCGCCGCCCGACGACGGCCAGUCGCAGCCCGGGGUGGCGAGCAGGGGAAGCUGAGAGCUGCCCGCUCGCGCCACAGCCCCGGCCGACAAGGCAACACACGGAGAGUGACGCGGAAGGCACGCGCGCACACGGGCACGCGCGCCGGUCCCCAACACGAAGAAAGAGCGACGGACCGCCAGCCCGGCCCGGCGGGACCCUCCCCCGACACGGAGGGGGGAGGCGCGGGCCGCGGCCAUUAGGGCCGAAAGAGCAGCGCCCCGGUCCCCACCGCGGGGACCGGCAGACCCACCAGCACGCCUACGCUUCCCCCCAACAGAAGGGGCAAACGGGGCGCACGGGUGGGGUACGCCACCCAACGCACUCAGCACAGGAGGGACGGCGGCCGGGGGAUAACGGUACCCCGUCAGAAGGCACGCCCCUCUCGGAUCGCUAGAGAAGGCGUUCCUCACCGAAGGUGGGGCCACACCCCACCCCAACUGCCCCCCCCCCCGCCGGGGCCGGCAGGGAGGCAAGCCGAGGGAGCACCACCCGAGAGAACCGAUCAAUCGGGCGAGGGGGGUCUGCGGUAUAAGGAAGAACGGCACCUCGAGCAUCCGCGGCCAGGGCAAGGGCAGGCUGGGCGCAUUACCAAUCCCAUUCGCCACAGCCCUCCCGGCCCCCGCACUCGUCCGGCCAGACCGGACCACACCGCGACCGCUCGACACACCUGGCACACACCACCCCACGGGGGCAGGGUGGCAAGCGCGCAGGCAUGCGCCCACCAAGCCGAUACCCCACACACACGUGGGGACGACGGCACGACACCGGCAGCCUCCCUCCAAGCGAGGCGAAGCACACACGUGUCUCCUUCUCUUACCGCCUCGACCCCCCCAAGACUCCCAAGGGGCACAGGCAGCAGCCAGAGGCAGCCGCAGCAGCGACACCCGGGAGAGGGCGCUGGGGGGACAGGAGCAACACCACCACUCGGCUUCAGGCGCCUGAGGCACAACCUGGACCACUCCAGGGGCACCGCACAGGCUCGCGCGGAGGCAAGGCUCCGCAGCCACAGAGCCCACGACAGGGCGACGGCGAGGGAUGCCCGCCACGUCAGAGGACCCCGACCCCCCCCGCGCGCAAAAGCACGGGGACAGCAGAGGCCGGGCCGGUUUCCGCACCCCUGCCACCCACACACCACCCGCAGGUGGGGAAGGCAGAACGAGGGGCCCGCAGGCCAGAACGAGAGGCUCAGCAGCAUUCACC
Molecule: long non-coding RNA, 2769 nt
Filed under: Oryctolagus cuniculus (rabbit)
Lineage: Eukaryota; Metazoa; Chordata; Mammalia; Lagomorpha; Leporidae
Description: lncRNA (ENSOCUG00000035560.1)
Source: RNAcentral